AUGGUGGCACAGAAUCGGAGGCCCCGACUGUUUACUAAAAACACAACACAGUGCAAUCAUUAAUAUGGUAGUAUACUGUGUGAAAUUUGCCCAAUGCCAUUAAUAUAAAAGCGGUCAUAGGAAACUGUGACUAAUUGAAAAUCUGGUUAAUAGCGGUCUUAACCAUGAGGAUCUAAGGUAGCAAAAUAAAUUGGCCAUUAAAUGUGGUCCGGUAUCAAUAAUGUAACGAUGGCCUCACUGUCUCUACAACUUGCUCAGUGAAAUUGAAUUACGCGUGCAGAUGCGCGUUACCUCCAGUGGGACGGG
Molecule: ribosomal RNA, 306 nt
Filed under: Amanita cf. muscaria MFC-14
Lineage: Eukaryota; Fungi; Basidiomycota; Agaricomycetes; Agaricales; Amanitaceae
Description: LSU rRNA
Rfam family: Bacterial large subunit ribosomal RNA
Source: RNAcentral